This 66-nucleotide transfer RNA is filed under the name Typhlatya garciai. RNAcentral's name for it is "tRNA-Tyr". It matches the Rfam family "tRNA". From Rfam's summary of the family: Transfer RNA (tRNA) molecules are approximately 80 nucleotides in length. Their secondary structure includes four short double-helical elements and three loops (D, anti-codon, and T loops). The record is from RNAcentral. Lineage: Eukaryota; Metazoa; Arthropoda; Malacostraca; Decapoda; Atyidae.
GGCUAGGUGGCUGAGGAUUUAGGCGGUAGAUUGUAAAUUUAUAGACGGAGGUAGUUCCCCUAGUUA